This 392-nucleotide long non-coding RNA is filed under the name Panax ginseng (ginseng). RNAcentral describes it as "long non-coding RNA (PGIN_LNC001912)". The record is from RNAcentral. Lineage: Eukaryota; Viridiplantae; Streptophyta; Magnoliopsida; Apiales; Araliaceae.
AAAAACUCCCCCUGUUUGUUUUUUUUCUGGGGAAUCUGUAUAUGUGUUUUAACUCCUCUAUAGGUGGGUGAGGUCAUUAGGAGUGGAUUGAGAUCUACAAUCGAAGGGGGAGGGGAGGGAAGACAGAAGAAUAUACCCGAUUCUUGCUCUUCUAGCUCUUGAACUUGUGGAUCUUCCUGAUUAGGGUCUAAUUUUUUUGGGUUUUGGGAUCUUAAUUUUCUAGGGUUUGUGGUGAUUGAGGUUGAAAACAUAAUUGUUCUUGUGGUAGAGCUGGUUGACGUCGUCUCAGGUGAUGUCAUUGCAGUCGACUGACAUUUUGGAGAUGAGAGAGAGAGGUCGGCGGGUCGGACGUCGAUGAGAGAGAGGAUGUAUAUGAGAGAGCUGGGUUGGAG